UAACAUUUCUAGCUGCUAGAAAGGCGGCGGGGAAAGGAGCAUCCAUACGCGCACGCAAUUAGACCCCCGCCGUGAGAUGUGUCGGCGGCUGUGAGGCAGGUGGGGACAUGCCUGGAGGCUGAAAGGGCUUCCGGACGCAUAUAUCGCACCAGGCGCCGUCGUACGCCGGACCAACGAUGCAUCAUAACAUUUCUAGUUGCUAGAAAGGCGGCAGGAAUAGGAGCAUCCAUACGGUCACGCAAUUAGACCCCCGCCGUGAGAUGCGUCGGUGGCUGUGAGGCAGGUGGGGACAUGCCUGGAGGCUGAAAGGGCUUCCGGACGCAUAUAUCGCACCAGGCGCCGUCGUACGCCGGACCAACGAUGCAUCAUAACAUUUCUAGCUGCUAGAAAGGCGGCGGGGAAAGGAGCAUCCAUACGCGUCACGCAAUUAGACCCCCGCCGUGAGAUGCGUCGGCGGCUGUGAGGCAGGUGGGGACAUGCCUGGAGGCUGAAAGGGCUUCCGGACGCAUAUAUCGCACCAGGCGCCGUCGUACGCCGGACCACCGAUGCAUCAUAACAGUAACUAGCUGCUAGAAAGGCGGCGGGGUAGGAGCAUCCAUACGGCACGCAAUUAGACCCCCGCCGUGAGAUGCGUCGGCGGCUGUGAGGCAGGUGGGGACAUGCCUGGAGGCUGAAAGGGCUUCCGGACGCAUAUAUCGCACCAGGCGCCGUCGUACGCCGGACCAACGAUGCAUCAUAACAUUUCUAGUUGUUAGAAAGGCGGCGGGGAAAGGAGCAUCCAUACGGCACGCAAUUAGACCCCCGCCGUGAGAUGCGUCGGUGGCUGUGAGGCAG
This 834-nucleotide long non-coding RNA is filed under the name Volvox carteri. RNAcentral's name for it is "long non-coding RNA (VCAR_LNC002491)". The record is from RNAcentral. Lineage: Eukaryota; Viridiplantae; Chlorophyta; Chlorophyceae; Chlamydomonadales; Volvocaceae.